CGGAGCACGCGCGCCGCGCGCGCAAUAGCCGCUUACGAUUUUCGCGCGCAGUGAAAAAAAAAGUUAAAAAAGUCUAUGAUUAAUAUUGAAUUAGUGCGGUAACGUGUUACGUUCCAUGGUCAGUGCUUUUUGUGUUUUUUUUUCACGUCCAUUGUGUGAUCUCGACGUUGUGUUUGUGAUGCCAAUCUGUCAUUUUCGACUCGAUGCGAUUAAAGAUAACGCUAAUUAACGAAUUGGUGUUGGUUUUGUGUUGGAUAAAUGCGGUGAAGUGGAUGCUGGAUGUGUUUGAAUUAACUAUUGCAUUAAGCACAGACAGGGCGUGGUGUGAUAGAUCCACCACACAUGUCCCCAAAACAUGAUACCGAUGAUAGUGCGAGUGUGGUGCGAAAGCGGCGCGGGUUGGUCGGCCACGCACGUGCCCGUAACGCCUCAGAGCACCUGUCUCGAUGUGUUGGAGUGCUGCCGCGAGCCUGGUGAAGAGCCCUGUCUGUUGCUCGCACUGCAUCCCCAAC
Long non-coding RNA from Achroia grisella, 512 nucleotides. RefSeq lists it as uncharacterized. The record is from RefSeq and is a predicted model, not a curated record. Lineage: Eukaryota; Metazoa; Arthropoda; Insecta; Lepidoptera; Pyralidae. The transcript has 3 exons.